RNAcentral lists this ribosomal RNA (253 nucleotides) under uncultured bacterium. RNAcentral's name for it is "partial 16S ribosomal RNA". It matches the Rfam family "Bacterial small subunit ribosomal RNA", at positions 524 to 776 of the family's 1533-position model. The record is from RNAcentral.
UACGGAGGGUGCAAGCGUUAUCCGGAUUCACUGGGUUUAAAGGGUGCGUAGGCGGAUAGGUAAGUCAGGGGUGAAAUCCUGGAGCUUAACUCCAGAACUGCCUUUGAUACUAUCUAUCUUGAAUAUGGUGGAGGUAAGCGGAAUAUGUCAUGUAGCGGUGAAAUGCAUAGAUAUGACAUAGAACACCUAUUGCGAAGGCAGCUUACUACGCCUAUAUUGACGCUGAGGCACGAAAGCGUGGGGAUCAAACAGG